Arvicola amphibius (Eurasian water vole) is the source of this 4141-nucleotide long non-coding RNA. RefSeq lists it as uncharacterized. The transcript is spliced from 4 exons. NCBI's taxonomy places the organism in Eukaryota, Metazoa, Chordata, Mammalia, Rodentia, Cricetidae. The record is from RefSeq and is a predicted model, not a curated record.
GCCAGGAGCAGUGCAUUCUCUGGCAAAGGGUGAAGCUCCAGGGAGACCCCGCUGGGUCCCGGCUAGGAGUUCAAACCAGCAAUUAGCCUCCACUGCCUCCCUCUGCAAGCCUUUCAUCUCCUCUCUGCCACACCUCCGUCAUCUCUCCCUCCCUGUCAGGCCUCGGCCUCAGGGCUGCCUGGUGCCACCCUGGAGGAGGUCCUCAGAUGGAGUGACUGGGCCCACCCAAUGGAACUUACAGAGUCCACAAUGCUGCAUGAUGGGUGCUAGUGUAAGGCGGGAGGAGACAGGAGCUCAGUGCAGACCGUCUGAAGCGGUCUGAGCAUGCAGUCUAAGGAAGCAGUCGGAAGACAGGAUCGUCCCUUCCGUCUGAGUAUUGGUAGAGCUCUUCUCACUCACUAUUCUCCAGCCGGUGCUCCAUACCAGGUGCUCUCUACCGAGUGGCUCUUCAUACUGUGACCGUAGGAUCUGCAGGAUCCUCUUUGCUUGUCAGCAAGGCUGAAUCAAACCGUCACCCGGGCCCACUGAAGUAGACCGCCUCUUUGGGAGUUCUCAAGUGAGUCAUUUACACAUGGGGCAUCACUGCUGGAGGGUGUCCUCAAAGUCUUGCCAGUCGUCUGUCCAAGCCUCAUAUAGGGCCUGGGGAGGUAAUUCUAUUGUGUUUGCUUCAUAAGUGUGAGGACCCAAGUUCAAUCCCCGGAACCCAGGGCAGCAGUGUGCUUCUGUAAUCUUAGCAUUGCGGAGGUGGAGAUGGGAGGACCUGGAGUUUUCUGGUCAGCUGGAGCUGAAGAGUCAGUCAUGAUCAAUAAACUAGCAGCAUCACUGAAGUGAAACCAUUGUGUUAUUGGGGCAACUGGUGCUGGUUGGCUGGAGCUAAGAAACUAGCAGUGAUUCAGAAGAGACCAGCAUCACCCAGGUGAAAUCUUCAGGGAAAGGUGUCCUGAGAGCACAGAGAUGGCUCUGUGCUCCAGACAUGGCCAUGGUUGUACCUCACGCUGGCAGCUGGAUUUGGUAAUAUGCUAGAGUCACCCAGGUGGUACUGGUUUGGAAGACAUGAAGGGGUCAUGGCAAACAACUGAUGCUCGGCAAUGUGAGAGGCCAGGAGAGGUCAUUGGUGAAGGUGCAGCCUCAGUGGCAGUUGAAGGCCCAGGACUGAAGGGGUCAUGCAAAGAAGUGGAGGCUCAGCACCAUGAAGAGAGCCUAUGAGAGGCUAUUGGCGGAAGUGCAGCCCAGUGGCAGGAGAAGACCCCUGAAUUUUGGAGAUGCCAGGACCAUGGAAUGAGCGCUAAGAACAGCAGCAGAAGACAUAGGCUAUGUGUGCCUUAGAGAGAGGAGCCGGAGAAGUGACCCCAGCCCUUGGAGGAGUCCUGAAGAUUGGUUAAAAAAGGAAUGCUUUUGUCCCAAGAUAAGAACGGAGGAGAGCACAAAUCACUUCUAAUGAGCACUGUACUAGAGAUUCUAGCCAGUGCAAUCAGGUGAGAAAACAAACAGAUGUCUGGAUUGGAAAGCAAGACCCCAUCCUGUGUGAAGAUGUUCUCAAGGAAUACAGAAAACAGCUACUAGCGCUAAAGAAUCCAGCAAUGUUUUAGGACACAUACGCUGUCAACUGUAUUUCUAUAUAGAAGCAAUGAACAAUCUGGAAAUGAAAUCAAUAAUUCCACCUCUAUUAGCCUGAUUUCUAUCAAGAUUCCAGCAAGGCAUUUAACAGACAUAGACAACUUGUCACCGAGUCUGUAUGGCAGGAGCUAGAGUAGCUGACACACUCUCGAGAAAGAACAAAGUGGGAAGAGUUGCUCCGCCCACAAGGCUUACUGUUCAGCUACAGUUAUCAAGGCUCUGUGGUGUUUGAAGGAGGAGGCUCAGAGAUCAAAGGGGCAGAAUAAUAAACCCACAGUAACUAUGUUCAACCCACUGACAAAGGUACAAAAGCUAUUCAGUGGAGGGCGGGGGACAGCCCUUCAAAUGGCACCGCAGCUAUUAGAUAUUCUUGGGCAAAAUAUAAGUCUAAACCUGGAAUGUGGCUGGCUUAGGUAGAGACUGCUUAGCAUGCCCCGGGUUUGAUCCUUAGACCACAGAAGGUGUGGAGGGUGACACAGGUAACUGAAUCUCACAACUCAAACUUAAAUACACUUAAAGUUUGAUCACUUAAAUACAGAACGCAAAAUAUAAAAUGCAGGGGAGGAAGAAGCAGAGCCUCCAAGACAAGGGCUAGGUAGAGAUGAAGUUCUUAUGCAAUAUCAAACUCCAUGUGAGAAUCAAAACAUUGCCUCACCGAGCAGCCGGUAACAAGGGUUGCUAAGUGAGGCUCAGGUGUCUAGGAGGGACAACAGCAGGCUGUGGCUGGGAGUCUUGCUUGAUCCAGGUGUAUAAUAUGCACAAAUACUGUCACCAUAGACCACUUGGCCUAAAUCUCAUGAGCGUCCCUCAGAAACCAUGCAAAACACAUAUUGAGCAAGCAAAUACUAGUCAAAUCCAAUGAAAGGCAAAUCCAGGUCAGGCAGCACAGACAAGAACUGGCUUAUAGUCAGCCCUUUCUCAUGAAGUCUCUGCUCACUCUCUCAAGCUCCAUGCCCAGAACCAAGAGGACAGGUUGAGCCCAGGCUCUAGAGUCUUACUGCUGAGAAGCAGUUCCGAGAGAAGACUCAGCUCCACUGCAGUCACCCCUGUGCUUCUCUGGGAGCAAAGUAGUCUCUGCUAUCCGGAAGACUUGCAGGUUUGGAAGACUCUGGAGACCAGGUCCAUUUGGUAAUGGCCAUUUUCACCGGAAACCCCUACAAAUAUUAAGCGUGGUGCCAGGUUACACAAACCACAUGAACAGCACGGUGAAGGAAACUCUUGCCAUCAGUGAGUGAAACGACUGGGAACUUUCUUCCUAGGCUAACCCAGUCUGCCUUUCACACGCUCAGUCCAGCCCUGAUGCCUUCACUCUACCCUCCGUUAGCCCGUUAACCACCAGGACCAGUGAGAAUGCCUCAGAAGGCACAUCUGACCGCUUCUGUCCACCAUCACCCCCAGUCCCCCCUGCUUCUAUCCACCAUCACCCCCAGUCCCCCCUGCUUCUGUCCACCAUCAUCCCCACCCCACCCCCCACUUCUGUCCACCAUCGCCCAAAGUCUAGAUUCUUGCUCUAUUCCUACCUGCUUCUCUAAUUCCAUCUGCAAUCUCCAGCCUGAGAAGGGCCUUAAACCAGUCAAAUCAGUACCCCCAGCUUAGAAUGUAAAGUUCUUGCUCUGGCAUAGGUCCUGUUCUCCAAUCCUUUCUCCAUCUAUUCUUCCCUCUUUCCCUUUCUUCCUGGCUCCUCUGAAGGCCAUUCUUGCUCCUUCCUCUGAUCAUUUCACCAAGAGUGUUGCCCUGCCCAAAGGCUGACUGCUGGUUACUCAGGUCUUGGCUCAGAGCAGAAGACUCCUAUCUACUCCACAUCCCCCAUCUCCAGAGACACCUGCCGUAGAACUACUAUCCUGGGCCUAAUGACAUGCACUUAGAUUGCAGUUACAUUGGUCCUUCAGAGCUGUUUUGACUUGGGCCUUGGAUAGCCAGACCCUUGUCACCUUGUAUUGAUCUGUCUUUAUAUGGAACCUUUCCAGGGCCACCUCUGGUUGAGUGCACAGCUGAGACCACCCCUGGGGCUAUCAGUCAGAUGCUGCUUGCCAAGUGUACUCCUAGUAGCUCUCAGAACAGGUGUUUACACAAAGAUGUCUGGGAGGUGAGGCAGUGUUCACGCGAACUUGCCUGUCCAAUGGCCUUCAUGUGUGCUCAUGUGGUUUUCCCUCCACCAACAGAGGCUCCCAAGAAGUAUGGCUUUGCCUGCCUCGCACCUGAUUGUAAAGUCAGCACACAGGAAGUGUUGAGCGUUUUGCAUCCAGUGUUCACAAUGCCCUGGAAAAGCUGUUUGUCUAUCCAUUUGUUCUCCGCCACCCCCUCCCCCACUGUAUAGUGAAGAAAGGGUCAGCUUACAAAACCUCUUCGUAAGGGCGCACAGUCAAAGGCAGCUCAUCUAACUCCAUGGCCCACAUCCCUUCCACUACACCGGAAAGAUGGGAAGAAGACAGCUAGAAAGUUGGUCCUAUGUUGAAAGAUGAAGGUGGAUGUUCUAGAUGUGGUAAUCAGAUUGCAAAUCAUUAAAGACACGUGCCAUCCCUCA